Molecule: ribosomal RNA, 497 nt
Filed under: uncultured bacterium
Lineage: Bacteria
Description: partial 16S ribosomal RNA
Rfam family: Bacterial small subunit ribosomal RNA
Source: RNAcentral
GAUGAACGCUGGCGGCGUGCCUAAUACAUGCAAGUCGAGCGAACAGACGAGGAGCUUGCUCCUCUGACGUUAGCGGCGGACGGGUGAGUAACACGUGGAUAACCUACCUGUAAGACUGGGAUAACUUCGGGAAACCGGAGCUAAUACCGGAUAAUAUAUUGAACCGCAUGGUUCAAUAGUGAAGGACGGUUUUGCUGUCACUUAUAGAUGGAUCCGCGCCGCAUUAGCUAGUUGGUAAGGUAACGGCUUACCAAGGCAACGAUGCGUAGCCGACCUGAGAGGGUGAUCGGCCACACUGGAACUGAGACACGGUCCAGACUCCUACGGGAGGCAGCAGUAGGGAAUCUUCCGCAAUGGGCGAAAGCUUGACGGAGCAACGCCGCGUGAGUGAUGAAGGUCUUCGGAUCGUAAAACUCUGUUAUUAGGGAAGAACAAAUGUGUAAGUAACUAUGCACGUCUUGACGGUACCUAAUCAGAAAGCCACGGCUAACUACGUG